CUGCUGCUGACUGAGGCUUUAAAAGCAUCUCUCUGAAGCCCAGCACUUGGGAGCCAGAGCCAGGAGGACCUCUGCAAGUUCCGGGACAGCCAGGGCUAGACAGUGAAACCCUGUCUCAAACAAACAAACAAAAUUAAUUUAAAAAAAUAAAUAAGCUGAAGAAUAACGGUAAAAGGAGAGUGGGUUCUAGGCUGAGGGAAAUGGACACGUGAGGUCACUUCCAAGAUGGCCCCAUGAUUCUUUUUUUGUGUCUUUGUUUGUUUGUCUUUUGAGACAGGGUUUCUCGGUGAGCCCUGGCUGUCCUGGAACUAGCUCUGUAUCCCAGGCUAGCCUCUAACUCAGAAUUCCACCUGCCUCUGCCUCCCAAGGGCUGGGAUUAAAGGCAUUUGUCACUUCAUAAGACUCAAAGUAUGUAUAGGAACCCGUUUCAUCAGAGAGGGCAAUUUGCUUAAGACUGGGAUCUUUAAAAAACGAUAGAAGUGUGUUUUCCAAGACCAUGCCUUAAGACAUGGUGGCUUUGUUCUCACCCCUUUGCUGAUCUUUCAGCUCCUAGGACACUGCCAUGGUGGAAGAAAAGCAAGCUCUCCCUGUACUGGGAGAUCUGGUCGGGGGACCAUGCCAUCUUACGUUUGAGCUUUUCAGCCUCAGCAAAACCUUCAGGCAACUGUGACCUGGUCAAUAUCAAGACCACAUCCCAGGGGCUGGAGUUGAACGAAGGUGGCCUCAACCAGGCCGACUCAGAACUUCAGCUUUUCCACCCGGACCCAUGGGUGUGGUGACCCCUGGUGUUUUCCGACCAGACGACAGGGUUUCAGGCUGGAGAGAAGGCUCAGCAG
Molecule: non-coding RNA, 836 nt
Organism: Peromyscus maniculatus bairdii (prairie deer mouse)
Lineage: Eukaryota; Metazoa; Chordata; Mammalia; Rodentia; Cricetidae
Source: RefSeq, a predicted model, not a curated record